UCCAGUGGUACUCUUCCCGCCUCAAUUUAAACACCAUGCCUGGACAAGGCCAACAGAAUCCCAAAGGGGAUAUGGGGAAAAGCCCACACCAACACAGGCAGCUGCAAAAUUUACAAAAAGAAUGAAGGAAAGCCUGUUCUACUGCUCUUUGGAUCCCUCAGUGGGAAACAACAAGGUGGCCUCUCAAAUGAAAUCAGCUUUAAACUGAGAGAUGAAAGAAC
This 221-nucleotide long non-coding RNA is filed under the name Homo sapiens (human). RNAcentral's name for it is "HSALNT0144295". Lineage: Eukaryota; Metazoa; Chordata; Mammalia; Primates; Hominidae. The record is from RNAcentral.